This 212-nucleotide unclassified non-coding RNA is filed under the name uncultured Entrophospora. RNAcentral's name for it is "uncultured Claroideoglomus partial internal transcribed spacer 2". The record is from RNAcentral. Lineage: Eukaryota; Fungi; Glomeromycota; Glomeromycetes; Entrophosporales; Entrophosporaceae.
AAAUAACAAAUUAUCACAAUCGUUGGUUGUGGAAUUGGGCCCUUAUUUCGAACAGACUUAUGGCCUUAAAUUUACGCCAUGUGCUUAAUUCGAACCAAACGGAGCAAUUAAACAUUCUCUCGUUAGACGGAUUACUCACAAGCAUUACGAUUUUUUGGACGACGAAAAGCACUCUCGCGAGCGCGAAGCCCAAGAUCGUAAAUUUAAUUGAC